Molecule: small nuclear RNA, 123 nt
Organism: Carassius auratus (goldfish)
Lineage: Eukaryota; Metazoa; Chordata; Actinopteri; Cypriniformes; Cyprinidae
Gene: U2
Rfam family: U2 spliceosomal RNA
About the family: U2 is a small nuclear RNA (snRNA) component of the spliceosome (involved in pre-mRNA splicing).
Source: Ensembl
AUCGCUUCUCGGCCUUUUGGCUAAGAUCAAGUGUAGUAUCUGUUCUUAUCAGUUAUACUACUAUAUUGAGUUUGGCGCCUCGGGCGCCAAACUCAAUAGAAACAAGUCCGAGGCCCAGCUCUU